GACGAACGCUGGCGGCGUGCUUAACACAUGCAAGUCGAACGGUAAGGCCCUUCGGGGUACACGAGUGGCGAACGGGUGAGUAACACGUGGGUGAUCCGCCCUGCACUUCGGGAUAAGCCUGGGAAACUGGUCUAAUACCGGAUAGGACCACUGCCUGCAUGGGUGGUGGUGGAAAGCUUUUGCGGUGUGGGAUGGGCCCGCGGCCUAUCAGCUUGUUGGUGGGGUGAUGGCCUACCAAGGCGACGACGGGUAGCCGGCCUGAGAGGGUGACCGGCCACACUGGGACUGAGAUACGGCCCAGACUCCUACGGGAGGCAGCAGUGGGGAAUAUUGCACAAUGGGCGCAAGCCUGAUGCAGCGACGCCGCGUAAGGGAUGACGGCCUUCGGGUUGUAAACCUCUUUCAGCACCGACGAAGCGCAAGUGACGGUAGGUGCAGAAGAAGGACCGGCCAACUACGUGCCAGCCGCCGCAGUAA
This 477-nucleotide ribosomal RNA is filed under the name uncultured bacterium. Its description in RNAcentral is "partial 16S ribosomal RNA". It matches the Rfam family "Bacterial small subunit ribosomal RNA", at positions 28 to 523 of the family's 1533-position model. The record is from RNAcentral.